Molecule: ribosomal RNA, 1017 nt
Filed under: uncultured Tulasnellaceae
Lineage: Eukaryota; Fungi; Basidiomycota; Agaricomycetes; Cantharellales; Tulasnellaceae
Description: eukaryotic LSU rRNA
Rfam family: Eukaryotic large subunit ribosomal RNA (bases 453-1017)
Source: RNAcentral
UACUCUUCAACAGACCAAUGUGCCAGUCUUUCUGGCAUGUUGUUCAAGUUUAUACGCCUCUUGGUCAGAGUUCAAUUGUAUUUUGAUAAUAUCACAACUGGUAGCAUUGGAUCCCUUGGCAUGCCAUUCGAUGAAGACCGUAGCAAAUUGCGAUAAGUGGUGUGAUAUGCGAGUCCAAAACUUAUACGUGAACCAUCGAAUUGUUGAACGCAUCGCAUCGAGCUUUGCCCAAGCACGAUAUGUCCCAUUGAGCGUCAUUAUGUAUUUGGAUUCCAAUCCAAGUUCAGGAUUCAUGGACCUUAAGUGGACCACGCUUCCUUAGAUGCAUCGGCACCAGAUGGAAUGGUAAUCUCCUUGUUGUAAACUUCAAGGUAUCCGUGUCAUCUACUUGCUGUUGACUGGCUUUGGUCAGUCAGAAUGAGGAUGUCUAUGACAAUUACCUCUUCCAAACAUGAUCUCAAGGGGGCAAGACAACCCGCUAGACUUAAGCAUAUUAAUCAGCGGAGGAAAAGAAACUAACAAGGAUUCCCCCAGUAACUGCGAGUGAAGAGGGAUUAGCUCAACGUGUGAAUCUGACGAGGUCUAACACCUUGUUCGACUUGUGCACUAUUGACACUGGCUCAGCGUAUGAAUGCUAAAGGUGGAUGUCCGAUGAAACACGGCACCAUAGCGGGUCACAGUCCUAUAUAUGCCUAUUGGCAUUUACGCAUAUGAACAGUGCUCAUCGAGUCGUGUAGUUUUGUAUUGCUGCACAAAUUGGGAGGUAGAGCCCUUCUAAAGCUAAAUAUUAUGGCAUGACCGAUAGCAAACAAGUACCGUGAGGGAAAGGUGAAAAGCAACCAUGCAGAAUGGGUUGAAAGAGCAGUGAAAGUGCUACCGGGAUAAGGGCUAGUGAUUGCAAGUGCAGAUUGCAUGUGCUUCAGUGCUAUGCUAACUGCCAUCAUGCAUCGAUUGGGUUGGGGAGAACAGGUCAGUGGAGAUUCAGCUCGAUCCAGAGUGUUGUAAUCCACCAGACAA